GCGGUAGUGGCGGAAUUGGUAGACGCACCAGCUUGAGGGGCUGGCGGGGGUUACCCCGUGAUGGUUCGAGUCCAUUCUACCGCACCA
RNAcentral lists this transfer RNA (87 nucleotides) under Geobacter sulfurreducens. RNAcentral's name for it is "tRNA-Leu (GAG) (tRNA-Leu-GAG-1-1)". It matches the Rfam family "tRNA". From Rfam's summary of the family: Transfer RNA (tRNA) molecules are approximately 80 nucleotides in length. Their secondary structure includes four short double-helical elements and three loops (D, anti-codon, and T loops). The record is from RNAcentral. RNAcentral also lists the same sequence under 7 other names. Lineage: Bacteria; Pseudomonadati; Thermodesulfobacteriota; Desulfuromonadia; Geobacterales; Geobacteraceae.